Molecule: ribosomal RNA, 445 nt
Filed under: uncultured bacterium
Lineage: Bacteria
Description: partial 16S ribosomal RNA
Rfam family: Bacterial small subunit ribosomal RNA
Source: RNAcentral
GUGAGGAAUAUUGCGCAAUGGAGGCAACUCUGACGCAGCCAUGCCGCGUGCAGGAAGAAGGCGCUACGCGUUGUAAACUGCUUUUAACCGGGAAGAAACCCCAGGACGUGUCCUGGGUUGACGGUACCGGAGGAAUAAGCACCGGCUAACUUCGUGCCAGCAGCCGCGGUAAUACGAAUGGUGCAAGCGUUAUCCGGAUUCAUUGGGUUUAAAGGGUGCGUAGGCGGAGCGUUAAGUCAGUGGUGAAAUCCUGCAGCUUAACUGUAGACUUGCCAUUGAUACUGGCGCUCUUGAGUGCGCUGGAAGUGGGCGGAAUGUGCCGUGUAGCGGUGAAAUGCUUAGAUAUGGCACAGAACACCAAUUGCGAAGGCAGCUCACUAAGGCGAUACUGACGCUGAGGCACGAAAGCGUGGGGAUCGAACAGGAUUAGAAACCCUUGUAGUCC